CCGAAAGGUAGGAGUGCCCGCAAGGGAGCGCGGAGACAGGUGGUGCAUGGCUGUCGUCAGCUCGUGUCGUGAGAUGUUGGGUUAAGUCCCGCAACGAGCGCAACCCUCACCCCUUGUUGCUACCAGGUAAAGCUGGGCACUCUAGGGGAACUGCCCCGGUCAACGGGGAGGAAGGCGGGGAUGACGUCAAGUCAUCAUGCCCCUUACGUCCUGGGCUACACACGUGCUACAAUGGCCGGUACAAAGGGAUGCCACACCGUGAGGUAGAGCUAAACCCAAAAAGCCGGUCUAAGUUCAGAUUGGAGUCUGCAACUCGACUCCGUGAAGGAGGAAUCGCUAGUAAUCGCGCAUCAGCACGGCGCGGUGAAUACGUUCCCGGGCCUUGUACACACCGCCCGUCACACCACGAAAGCUGG
RNAcentral lists this ribosomal RNA (416 nucleotides) under uncultured Methylomirabilota bacterium. Its description in RNAcentral is "bacterial SSU rRNA". It matches the Rfam family "Bacterial small subunit ribosomal RNA", at positions 1001 to 1414 of the family's 1533-position model. The record is from RNAcentral. Lineage: Bacteria; Methylomirabilota (SeqCode).